RNAcentral lists this ribosomal RNA (468 nucleotides) under uncultured bacterium. Its description in RNAcentral is "partial 16S ribosomal RNA". It matches the Rfam family "Bacterial small subunit ribosomal RNA", at positions 28 to 507 of the family's 1533-position model. The record is from RNAcentral.
GACGAACGCUGGCUGCGUGCUUAACACAUGCAAGUCGAACGGAAAGGCCCUGCUAGUUUGCUUUCCUCGAGUUGCAAACGCGUGAGGAACACUAGAGUAACCUGCCCUUGACUUUGGGAUAGCUUCAGGACACUGGGGCUAAUACCAGAUAGUAGCUCCUUCUUCAUGGUGGGUGUUGGAAAGUUUCGGCGGUUGGGGAUUGACUCGUGGCUUAUCAGCUUGUUGGUUGGGUAGUGGCUUACCAAGGCUUUGAGGGGUAGCCGGCCUGAGAGGGUGACCGGCCACAUUGGGAAUGAGAUACGGCACGGAGUCGUAAGGGAGGCAGCAGUGGGGAAUAUUGCACGAUGCGCGGAAGCAUGAUGCAGGAACGCCGCGUGAGGGAUGACGGACUUCGGGUUGGCAACCGCUAUGGCAUGUGAGGGAGCGUGAGUGCAGGUAACGGGUAAAGAAGCACCGGCUAAUUACGUG